This 253-nucleotide ribosomal RNA is filed under the name uncultured bacterium. Its description in RNAcentral is "partial 16S ribosomal RNA". It matches the Rfam family "Bacterial small subunit ribosomal RNA", at positions 524 to 776 of the family's 1533-position model. The record is from RNAcentral.
UACGUAGGGCGCAAGCGUUAUCCGGAAUUAUUGGACGUAAAGAGCUCGUAGGCGGUUUGUCGCGUCUGCCGUGAAAGUCCGGGGCUCAACUCCGGAUCUGCGGUGGGUACGGGCAGACUAGAGUGAUGUAGGGGAGACUGGAAUUCCUGGUGUAGCGGUGAAAUGCGCAGAUAUCAGGAGGAACACCGAUGGCGAAGGCAGGUCUCUGGGCAGUAACUGACGCUGAGGAGCGAAAGCGUGGGGAGCGAACAGG